CCUUGUGCUUAGAAAAGGGGGAGCAUUUCAAUGGUUCGAUCUCAUCUGAUCUCGAAAGCUAAGCAGGGUCAGGCCGGGCCCGGUUAGUACUUGGAUGGGAGACCGUCUGGGAAUACCAGGUGCUGCAGGCU
RNAcentral lists this ribosomal RNA (131 nucleotides) under Tinamus guttatus (white-throated tinamou). The record is from RNAcentral. Lineage: Eukaryota; Metazoa; Chordata; Aves; Tinamiformes; Tinamidae.